This 301-nucleotide ribosomal RNA is filed under the name uncultured bacterium. Its description in RNAcentral is "partial 16S ribosomal RNA". It matches the Rfam family "Bacterial small subunit ribosomal RNA", at positions 509 to 807 of the family's 1533-position model. The record is from RNAcentral.
CAGCCGCCGCGGGAAUACGUAGGGUGCGAGCGUUAAUCGGAAUUACUGGGCGUAAAGCGUGCGCAGGCGGUUCGUUAAGACAGAUGUGAAAUCCCCGGGCUUAACCUGGGAACUGCAUUUGUGACUGACGGGCUAGAGUAUGGCAGAGGGGGGUAGAAUUCCACGUGUAGCAGUGAAAUGCGUAGAGAUGUGGAGGAAUACCGAUGGCGAAGGCAGCCCCCUGGGCCAAUACUGACGCUCAUGCACGAAAGCGUGGGGAGCAAACAGGAUUAGAGACCCCAGUAGUCCCUGUCUCUUAUAC